ACGCAAAUCGUCCGAGCCAGCGCCGUUGUACCAGAUGGCCGCCAGUCCUGUGCUGCUGCACAAAAUGGCCGCCAACCCAGCGCCGCUGCGCGGCAUGGGUGCCAGCUCAGCGCCACAGCACAAGAUGGCUGCCAGCUUAGAGCCACAGCACAAGAUGGCCGCCAGCCCAGCGCCACAGCACAAGAUGGCCGCCAACCCAGCACAACGAGGCAAGAUGGCAGCCAGCACAGCGCCAAAGCACAGAGUGCCCACCAUUCCAGCGCCACAGCACAAGAUGGCCGCCAGUUCAGAGCCACAGCACAAGAUGGCCGCCAGCCCAGCGCCACAGCACAAGAUGGCCGACUCAACGCCUGAGUCUCCAGACAAGGUGCUACCAACUCGCCAUCAUGGAGGCUGGAGGAGGAGGAGACAGGCGUCUACCGCUCCUCAAAGCCCGGAGGACGUUCUCGAGUGGGCCGCUUCCGUCCAGGAAGAAGUUCCCGAGCGGGCCACUGCUGUCCAUGAGGACGUUCCCGAGCAGGCAGCUGCCAUCCAGGAGGACAUUCCCGAGGCCGUUCCAGAGGCCAAAGCGAUGCCCGAGGCCGUUCCCGAUGCGGUGCCCGAUGCUGGUCCCGAUGCUGUUUUGGAGGCCGAGGAGGUGCCCGAGACAGUUCCUGAGGUGAUGCCCGACGCUGUUCUGGAGGCUGAGGUGGUGCCCGAUGCUGUUCCGGAGGCCGAGGUGGUGCCGAUGCUGUUCCGGAGGCCGAGGCGGUGCCCGAUGCUGUUCGGGAGGCCGAGGCGGUGCCCGAUGCUGUUCUGGAGGCCGAGGCGGUGCCCGAUGCUGUUCUGGAGGCCGAGGCGGUGCCCGAUGCUGUUCCGGAGGCCGAGGUGGUGCCCGAUGCCGAGGCAGUGUUCGAGGCUGUUCCGGAGGCCGAGGCGGUGCCCGAUGCUGUUCCGGAAGCCGAAGUGGUGCCCGAUGACGAGGCGGUGCCCGAUGCUGUUCCGGAGGCCGAGGCGGUGCCCGAGGCCGUUCCGGAGUCAAGUCAGAUUCCUGUUGACCUUCCCAAGUCAAGUCAGGUGCCCAUUGACUUCCCAGAGUUAAAUCAGUUCCCGGUUGACCCUCUAGAGUCGAGUCAGGUGUUCAUGGACCCUCCAGAGUCAGGGUUAGUCACCGCCAACCUUCCAGAGUCAGAGUUAGUUACCGUUGACCCUCUAGAGUCAGGGCUAGUUCCGGUUGACCAUCCAGAGUUGAGUCAUGUUCCAGUUGUUCCUCCUGAAUCAAGUCAGAUUCCUGUUGACCUUCCCGAGUCAAGUCAGGUGCCCGUUGACUUUCCAGAGUUGAGUCAGUUUCCGGUUGACCCUCCAGAGUCGAGUCAGAUGGUCAUGGACCCUCCAGAGUCAGGGUUAGUCACCAUCGACCUUCCAGAGUCAGGGUUAGUCACCAUCGACCUUCCAGAGUCAGGGUUAGUUACCGUUGACCUUCCAGAGUCAGGGCUAGUUCCUGUUGACCUUCCAGAGUCGAGUCAGGUUCUGGUGAACUCUCCAGAGUCGAGUCAGGUUCCGGUGAACUCUCCAGAGCCGAGUCAGG
Molecule: long non-coding RNA, 1567 nt
Organism: Carassius auratus (goldfish)
Lineage: Eukaryota; Metazoa; Chordata; Actinopteri; Cypriniformes; Cyprinidae
Source: Ensembl